GUCUUUUUAAACUAUUAAAUAAACCGUCUCAUUUGGGAAUAAGGCUAUGCUGGCUUAUAAAAGUUAUGAUUUUCAAUCAUAGGGCUGUUCACGAUGCAGGGUUUUGACUGACUAAUAAGAGCGCCUCAUAAGAGUCAUUUGCCCGUGAAUUGAUACUAGUCGUCGUCUCGUUCAAUUUGUUUACGCGUGCAGCCCGCGAGGACGACACAACAGAAAGUCGUUUCUUGAGAUUAUUUGGCGGUCUUCUGCAUCACAUAGAAUUCAGACUGCGAACUUCCAUUCUCAACACAAGACGUUCCUGUCGCUCCAUCGUUCCUGUACUCCACCGCUCCACGUGAUUCCUACUGGAAAGCCAAGAUCUGUUACCGCAAGCUAAGCCCUCUGAACUCUGUCACUGUGUGCUUCACUUACCUCUCAUCACCACCUGGUUCACGCCAUUGUUUCUAUCAUUAAAGACCCUUGUUUGACCAGUUACCUC
RNAcentral lists this long non-coding RNA (478 nucleotides) under Sinocyclocheilus anshuiensis. RNAcentral's name for it is "lncRNA (ENSSANG00000031222.1)". The record is from RNAcentral. Lineage: Eukaryota; Metazoa; Chordata; Actinopteri; Cypriniformes; Cyprinidae.